This 126-nucleotide ribosomal RNA is filed under the name Babesia gibsoni. Its description in RNAcentral is "partial small subunit ribosomal RNA". It matches the Rfam family "Eukaryotic small subunit ribosomal RNA", at positions 1015 to 1141 of the family's 1831-position model. The record is from RNAcentral. Lineage: Eukaryota; Apicomplexa; Aconoidasida; Piroplasmida; Babesiidae.
CCGUCGUAGUCCUAACCAUAAACCAGGCCUGCUAGGUGGUGAAGGUCGUCAUUUUUCGAUGUCUUCAAAUCCCUAAGUUAAAUUCAAGUGUUGGGGUCCUUGGGAGAGUAUGGUCGCAAGGCUGAA